RNAcentral lists this ribosomal RNA (518 nucleotides) under uncultured bacterium. Its description in RNAcentral is "bacterial SSU rRNA". It matches the Rfam family "Bacterial small subunit ribosomal RNA", at positions 8 to 518 of the family's 1533-position model. The record is from RNAcentral.
AGAGUUAUGGCUCAGGAUGAACGCUAGCGACAGGCUUAACACAUGCAAGUCGAGGGGCAUCACGGGAGUAGCAAUACAACUGGUGGCGACCGGCGCACGGGUGAGUAACGCGUAUCGCAACCUACCUAUCAGAGGGGAAUAACCCGGCGAAAGUCGGACUAAUACCGCAUAAAACAGGGGCACCGCAUGGUGAUAUUUGUUAAAGAAAUUCGCUGAUAGAUGGGCAUGCGUUCCAUUAGGUAGUUGGUGAGGUAACGGCUCACCAAGCCGACGAUGGAUAGGGGAACUGAGAGGUUGGUCCCCCACACUGGUACUGAGACACGGACCAGACUCCUACGGGAGGCAGCAGUGAGGAAUAUUGGUCAAUGGGCGGGAGCCUGAACCAGCCAAGUCGCGUGAAGGGAAAAGAAGGAUCUAUGGUUCGUAAACUUCUUUUGCAGGGGAAUAAAGUGCAGGACGUGUCCUGUUUUGUAUGUACCCUGAGAAUAAGGAUCGGCUAACUCCGUGCCAGCAGCAGC